GACGAACGCUGGCGGCGUGCAUAACACAUGCAAGUCGAACGGAAAGGCCCUGCUUUUGUGGGGUGCUCGAGUGGCGAACGGGUGAGUAACACGUGAGUAACCUGCCCUUGACUUUGGGAUAACUUCAGGAAACUGGGGCUAAUACCGGAUAGGAGCUCCUGCUGCAUGGUGGGGGUUGGAAAGUUUCGGCGGUUGGGGAUGGACUCGCGGCUUAUCAGCUUGUUGGUGGGGUAGUGGCUUACCAAGGCUUUGACGGGUAGCCGGCCUGAGAGGGUGACCGGCCACAUUGGGACUGAGAUACGGCCCAGACUCCUACGGGAGGCAGCAGGGGGGAAUAUUGCACAAUGGGCGGAAGCCUGAUGCAGCAACGCCGCGUGCGGGAUGACGGCCUUCGGGUUGUAAACCGCUUUCGCCUGUGACGAAGCGUGAGUGACGGUAAUGGGUAAAGAAGCACCGGCUAACUACG
This 466-nucleotide ribosomal RNA is filed under the name uncultured bacterium. RNAcentral describes it as "partial 16S ribosomal RNA". It matches the Rfam family "Bacterial small subunit ribosomal RNA", at positions 28 to 505 of the family's 1533-position model. The record is from RNAcentral.